GGACUACACGGGUUUCUAAUCCUGUUUGCUCCCCACGCUUUCGCGCCUCAGCGUCAGUUACAGCCCAGAAAGUCGCCUUCGCCACUGGUGUUCCUCCACAUAUCUACGCAUUUCACCGCUACACGUGGAAUUCCACUUUCCUCUUCUGUACUCAAGUCAACCAGUUUCCAGUGCGAACUGAGGUUGAGCCUCAGCCUUAAACACCAGACUUAAUUGACCGCCUGCGCGCGCUUUACGCCCAAUAAUUCCGGACAACGCUUGCCCCCUACGUAUUACCGCGGCUGCUGGCAC
RNAcentral lists this ribosomal RNA (291 nucleotides) under uncultured bacterium. RNAcentral's name for it is "partial 16S ribosomal RNA". The record is from RNAcentral.